GAGACUGUAUAAUGCACUCUCAGUCAAGGCAUCAUCUACAUAGGUUGCCAUCAGAUGGAGACUCAGUGUAAACAUAGAAAAAGAUGCUUAAAUAUCUGUUAUAAGAGCCAGAAGGACAGAGAUCAGAGAAGCUACCACUGAAAGUCAGAGAGUGUCUUGCAAGUCAGAGGAGUCAAUGUUCAAGUCGUAACCAAGUACCAAGAUGGCUAACUCCUUGUUCUGGCUAUGAAAUAAACUUCCAUUUUGCUACCUUACUGAAUUCUAACUUGUUAUACAUUCAGUCACACUUUCAGGUAAGUCUAUUUUGAACUCAUUAUUCUGACCACUUUGUUGAUACCUAUGCAGUUGCCAUCCUAUUUUUAUUAUUAUGAGUUUAUUGUAAGUUUUGGUAUCUACUUAGGCAAAG
Molecule: long non-coding RNA, 406 nt
Organism: Bos indicus x Bos taurus (hybrid cattle)
Lineage: Eukaryota; Metazoa; Chordata; Mammalia; Artiodactyla; Bovidae
Source: Ensembl